RNAcentral lists this unclassified non-coding RNA (244 nucleotides) under plant metagenome. RNAcentral describes it as "partial contains small subunit ribosomal RNA, internal transcribed spacer 1, and 5.8S ribosomal RNA". The record is from RNAcentral.
UCUCCGUUGGUGAGCCAGCGGAGGGAUCAUUACCAGAGUUUUACAACUCCCAACCCUUAUGUGAACCUACCUAUCGUUGCUUCGGCGGACCCGCCCCAGCGUCCGGAGGGCCCCGCGCCGGCCCGCGAGCUGGACCCAGGCGGCCGCCUGAGACCACACAAUCCUGUACCCAUCAGUCCCUCUGAAUCCGCCGCAAGGCAAAACAAACGAAUCAAAACUUUCAACAAUGGAUCUCUUGGUUCUG